GGAAGGAAACAGAGAGAAAGGGUUUUGUCAGCGCGGGGAGAGAGAUGGAUGGAAAGGGGAGAGAGACAGGAGAAAGUUAAAAAACACGCAAAUGGAAAGAAAAAGAAAGCUGCAGCAGCUGCUUAUCACUCAGUAGAUUUAUCUUUCUCUCCUUCUCUCAUCCACACGGGCGCUAAGUCAGUUUGGAAAAACUAAAUUAAUAAAUAAAGCCGUUUCUCUUUCUCUCUCUAUCCGGCCCCUUCUUUCCUUUAUGGUUUCUCUCUGAAACGGAGUUUGGUAGAGGGGGCGGCCGACUCCCUCAACUCGGACCGAGUUAUGGGUUGUUGCCAAUCUUUCUUCUUUCGAGUAACUGCCUCCCAGGAAAAAGCCUACCUUCAUCAGGCGCAGAAUCACCACCCUUCUCAACCUGCCAACGGCAAGGACCCUGCCUCUGCUGCCUCCUCAGGUCUCCGUGGUUUCAUCGAGUUUUCUCUCGCUGACCUAAAAGCCGCCACCAAUAACUUUAGCCCUGAGUUCAUCGUUUCGGAAAGCGGUGAAAAGGCUCCCAAUGUCGUCUAUAAAGGCCGCCUGCAGAACCAGGAUAAUCGCACUUGGAUCGCUGUCAAGAAAUUCACGAAACUUGCCUGGCCCGAUCCCAAACAAUUCGCAGAUGAGGCAUUGGGUGUUGGGAAGUUGAAGCACAAGAGACUAGCUAAUUUGAUAGGGUACUGCUGCGAUGGGGACGAGAGGUUGCUGGUGGCAGAGUACAUGCCCAAUGAUACUCUUGCGAAACAUCUAUUUCACUGGGAGAAUCAAACCAUUGAGUGGGCCCUGCGGUUAAGAGUUGCUCUGUACAUUGCUGAAGCUUUAGAUUAUUGUAGUUCUGAAGGUCGUCCACUGUACCAUGAUUUAAAUGCUUAUAGGGUUCUUUUUGACGAGGUAGUGCAACUUAUCUCUUUUUCUUGACCUCUAAGAUUCAUUUUGCCUAGUCUAUACAAAAGUUGGUAAUUCAGUAACCGAAGUUUUUCAUUCUGUUUUUUAUUAGUUGAAAAUAUCUGGUUUUGUUAAGCUAUUUUCAUCCGGAGGAUCUGUUAGUUUCUAUAAGAGCAAAGUGGUAACUUAGUGGACGGUUUUGGCAGAAUGGAGACCCUCGUCUUUCAUGUUUUGGCUUGAUGAAAAAUAGU
Molecule: unclassified non-coding RNA, 1163 nt
Filed under: Hevea brasiliensis (rubber tree)
Lineage: Eukaryota; Viridiplantae; Streptophyta; Magnoliopsida; Malpighiales; Euphorbiaceae
Source: RNAcentral